Oncorhynchus mykiss (rainbow trout) is the source of this 859-nucleotide long non-coding RNA. RefSeq lists it as uncharacterized. The record is from RefSeq and is a predicted model, not a curated record. Lineage: Eukaryota; Metazoa; Chordata; Actinopteri; Salmoniformes; Salmonidae.
UCGAGUAAGGUAAGUAAACCUAAAUGAGAACACCUGGGUUAAGCCUGAUUACGUUAAGUAUGAGCACAUGCUGUUGGUCUAAUGGUGCUCAUAAAACCCGGACUGGAAUAGAAAACACCAUUACUGGUGUGAAUCUUGAGACAAUGGCAGAGGCAAAAAUAAUUAGUUGAAAAAACUUUAGUGAGUAUGAAAAAACACUACUAAAACUAAAAUAGUGGUUGGGCUGCAAUUUGUAGUGAAUUCAAUGCAGAUGAAAAUGUAAACACAAGAAGAGUACAGCAACUUCAGACUCUGUGGAAUAAUCUUAAACUGGCUUUAAAAAAGAGAGAAUGCAGAGAUCAGAAGAGAGCGAUUUACUACCGGUUGGUUGAUCACCAAAAAAAGACAAGACUGAUGAAUUGAGUGACUUGCUGUCUGGAGUAAAAGGGCACCAGCAACCUCUGGAUGGUAUACCAGAUGAUGACCAACCUCUGGAUAGUAUACCAGAUGAUGACCAUUUGGGCAGUCCAGAUGAAGAACUGAGCACAAAUGAGGAAGGGAAUCUGAACAGGUUGGAAGAGCCAGUGCACAGUGAGUGUGUACCCUCCAUCUGCUAUAGCAUCCCUGAGAGAAGAUGCUGCCACCACCUUUCAGCAGAGAACAAAAAAGAUGACCAUGCAUGAGAAGUUAGCCAGAGAAUUUCAUGAGCAUAAAAUGAAAUAGCUGAAGGAAGAACAUGAAAUGAAAAUAAGAAUUCUACAGGUUGAAUUGGAUAUGAAGUCGGAAGAGAGCAGUGUGAUCCAAAAAAGAUAAGACAAUUGUGAUUACCAGCCAUGGUGAACAAUAUGAUAUGUAAAAAAUAAAUGUUUUGUCAUUUGGA